This 274-nucleotide ribosomal RNA is filed under the name uncultured bacterium. RNAcentral's name for it is "partial 16S ribosomal RNA". It matches the Rfam family "Bacterial small subunit ribosomal RNA", at positions 523 to 796 of the family's 1533-position model. The record is from RNAcentral.
AUACGGAGGGUGCAAGCGUUACUCGGAAUCACUGGGCGUAAAGGACGCGUAGGCGGGAAGCCAAGUCUGAUGUGAAAUCCUAUGGCUUAACCAUAGAACUGCAUUGGAAACUGCUAACCUAGAGUAUGGGAGGGGGAGAUGGAAUUAGUGGUGUAGGGGUAAAAUCCGUAGAUAUCACUAGGAAUACCGAAAGCGAAGGCGAUCUCCUGGAACAUAACUGACGCUAAGGCGUGAAAGCGUGGGGAGCAAACAGGAUUAGAAACCCUAGUAGUCC